AAGUCGUAACAAGGUUUCCGUAGGUGAACCUGCGGAAGGAUCAUUAGUAAAUGAUGGCUCUUAGGGGUCUUUGACUCCAUCCACACCUGUGCACUGUUAACCGUUAGCUCCCUUUUGGAAAUUUUGGGUUAUACUGAGAUUUAUUAGGUGUGGCCUUCGGGCUGCUUCCUACCAGAAGGGUAGCACUUUAUACCUACUUUGUUUUUGUUAUUAGUCUGAAUUUUGAGGCUCUACGAGCAACUUGACACAACUUUCAACGAUGGAUCUCUUGGCUUCCA
Molecule: unclassified non-coding RNA, 278 nt
Filed under: fungal sp.
Lineage: Eukaryota; Fungi
Description: partial internal transcribed spacer region
Rfam family: Eukaryotic small subunit ribosomal RNA (bases 1-46)
Source: RNAcentral